RNAcentral lists this unclassified non-coding RNA (360 nucleotides) under Hevea brasiliensis (rubber tree). The record is from RNAcentral. Lineage: Eukaryota; Viridiplantae; Streptophyta; Magnoliopsida; Malpighiales; Euphorbiaceae.
GAAGCAUUGUUUUUCGGAAGUUUGCCAAGUGGCUCCUCAAGUUUGUGUUUUCAUCAUACUUGUCCAGGGUUAGGAGUUCGAAUUUGGGUGGGAAGUUUGGUACAAGAUCGCCUCACACAGUGGAGAUCCAUCACCCAUGCCAAAAUCAUCAUCCUAUUGGUGCCUCUGACUUGGCCAACCUCGAGGGAUCUCCAAAUGAUACUGGGAUGGCCACUGGGGGCGUGGAGUUGGUAAGGCCAUUGGUAUUACUGGUUGCUUUUGUUGGCUUGUUCAUAUUCCUUCUUCAAGGAUGCCAACGUAGCCUCCAUUUCCUUAAUCCUUAGGAAGAUGAGAUCCUGAGAGGAGUCAGAUAUUCCUAUU